GCGUUGUCCGGAAUUACUGGGCGUAAAGCGCGCGCAGGCGGUUUGGCGCAUCGGCGGUGAAAGCCCCCCGCUUAACGGGGGAGGGGCCGUCGAGAUGGCCAGACUGGAGGCAGGGAGAGGGCGGUGGAAUUCCGGGUGUAGUGGUGAAAUGCGCAGAGAUCCGGAGGAACACCAGUGGCGAAGGCGGCCGCCUGGACCUGACCUGACGCUGAGGCGCGAAGGCGCG
Molecule: ribosomal RNA, 226 nt
Filed under: uncultured bacterium
Lineage: Bacteria
Description: partial 16S ribosomal RNA
Rfam family: Bacterial small subunit ribosomal RNA
Source: RNAcentral